Molecule: RNA transcript, 3399 nt
Organism: Ananas comosus (pineapple)
Lineage: Eukaryota; Viridiplantae; Streptophyta; Magnoliopsida; Poales; Bromeliaceae
Gene name: U3 small nucleolar RNA-associated protein 21 homolog
Exons: 19
Source: RefSeq, a predicted model, not a curated record
ACCCUACAAACCCUCGCCCGUCUCCUCCGAAACCCUAAUAAUCCAGAUCGGAAGGAGCCCCGAAACCCUUUACAUGGGGAUCUUCGAGCCGUAUAGGGCCCUCGGCUACAUCACCGGCCCCGUGCCCUUCUCCGUGCAGAGGCUCGGCACCGAGACCUUCGUCACCGUCAGCGUCGGAAAAGCUUUUCAGAUCUACGACUGUGCUAAGCUGACUUUGGUUCUUUCCGGACCUCAACUGCCAAAAAAGAUCCGUGCUCUUGCAUCCUGCAAAGAUUAUACUUUUGCUGCGUACGGAAGCGAUAUUGGAGUGUUCAAACGUGCUCAGCAGGUAGCCACAUGGAGCAAACACAAAGAAAAAGUCAAGUUAUUAUUCUUGUUUGGAGAACAUAUCUUGAGCCUAGAUAUUAGGGGUAACAUAUUUAUUUGGUCAUUUAAAGGAAGGGAGCCUAACCUUGAACCAGUUGGGCAUAUACUUUUAGAAGGCAAAUUCUCUCCAAGCUGCAUAACGCAUCCAGAUACUUAUCUAAAUAAGGUCAUCAUUGGUAGUCAAGAAGGUCCACUGCAACUAUGGAAUGUCAGCACGAAGAAGAAACUUUACGAAUUUAAAGGCUGGAAUUCAUCUGUAUGUUGUUGUGUUGCAUCACCUGCAUUGGAUGUGGUUGCUGUUGGCUGUUCUGAUGGAACUAUCCAUGUACACAAUAUGCGGUAUGAUGAAGAGUUAGUUUCAUUUCCGCAUUCUGUUCGUGGUUCUGUGACUGCAUUGUCAUUUAGAACAGAUGGACAACCACUUCUAGCUUCUGGAGGUUCAUCAGGUCUGAUUAGCAUAUGGAAUCUUGAGAAGAAAAGGCUUCAGUCUGUCAUUAGGGAAGCUCAUGAUGCCUCAAUAGUGUCACUGCAUUUUUUUGCCAAUGAGCCUGUUCUUAUGAGCUCUGCAGCAGAUAAUUCAAUAAAAAUGUGGAUUUUUGAUAACAAUGAUGGAGAUGCUCGCCUUUUACGUUUUCGAAGUGGCCAUAGUGCUCCACCUCUUUGUGUGAGGUUCUAUGGAAAUGGAAGAUUCCUCUUAUCUGCCGGGCAAGACCGUGCCUUCCGUCUCUUCUCUGUCAUCCAGGACCAACAAAGCAGAGAGUUGUCUCAGCGCCAUGUGGCUAAAAGAGCUAAGAAACUUGGAAAGAAGGAAGAAGAGAUCAAGCUAAGGCCUGUCAUUGCUUUUGAUUUUGCUGAGAUACGUGAGCGUGAUUGGUGCAAUGUUGUGACGUGUCACAUGGAUACUCCACGGGCAUACGUAUGGCGGCUUCAGAACUUUGUUCUUGGUGAGCAUAUUCUGACACCAUCUGCAGACAUUGAAUCACCUGUUAAGACUUGUACAAUAAGUGCAUGUGGUAAUUUUGCUGUCUUGGGAACUGAGGGUGGUUGGAUUGAAAGAUUUAACCUGCAAUCGGGAAUCAGCCGAGGCAGCUACAUUGAUACUCUUGAACCUAGACAAUGUGCACAUGAUGGAGAAGUAGUCGGAAUUGCUUGUGAUGCUACAAACAGUUCAUUAAUAAGUGCAGGGUAUCAUGGUGAUAUCAAGGUGUGGGAUUUCAAAAGUCGUGGACUAACAGCUCGACAGGAAGUUGGACGUUCUCUUGUGAAGUUUGUAUAUCACAGAGUAAAUGGACUUCUUGCAACUGUGGCAGAUGACAUGGUUCUUCGCCUGUUUGAUGUUGUGGCACUGCGAAUGGUUCGUAACUUUGAGGGUCAUACGGAUCGAGUUACCGAUUUGUGCUUUAGUGAGGAUGGAAAGUGGCUUUUGUCUUCUGGUAUGGAUGGAACUCUCAGAAUAUGGGAUAUCAUAUUGGCCAGACAGAUAGAUGCAAUAUGCGUCGAUGCGUCCAUAACUGCACUAUCUCUGUCACCUUCUAUGGAUGUAUUGGCAACUACUCAUGUUGAUCAGAAUGGUGUCUAUCUUUGGGUUAAUCAGGCUAUGUUCUCGGGGUCCACCAAUAUAGAUAAUUAUGCAAGUGGGAAGCAUGUACGAAAUGUUCAAAUGCCAUCUGUCUCUGCGAAAGAAGGAUCCGAAGAAGAAUCAAUUCAAGCUUCAGGCAACCAGUCCCAAAUGAAAAAUUCUUCGUUUGCACAUAUUGAUCACCAAAUACCUAAUCUAAUCACACUCUCCUUGCUUCCGAGGAGCCAGUGGCAACAUUUGACUAAUUUAGACAUUAUAAAGGUUCGUAACAAGCCAGUUGAGCCACCGAAAAAGCCGGAAAAGGCACCCUUUUUCUUGCCCUCUACUCCGUCUCUUUCCGGAGAAAUAGUAUUUAAACCUAAUUCUGAUGCCAAUAGUGAAGAAAAAGAUCGAAAAAAUAUUGGCCUGAAGCAUCAUAACAAAACUGCUGAUAUAACCUCGCGAUUCAUUCUGCUGUUACAGUCCUGUGGAGAUACAAAAAACUUUUCAGAGUUUACGGAGUACAUUAAAAGUUUAUCUCCCUCAUCUCUGGAUAUGGAACUGCGAUUGCUCCAGAUAGUAGAUGACGGCAAUCUAGAAAAUCUGGACCAGCGGCCUGAAUUAGGUUCUAUCGCACUUCUGUUGGAUUAUUUCAUUCAUGAGCUUUCCGCCAGGAAUAACUUCGAGUUUAUUCAAGCUGUUAUUAGGUUGUUUCUUAAGAUACACGGUGAAACUGUGCGGCACCAUUCAAUUUUACAGGCGAAGGCGAAGAAGCUUCUAGAAGUUCAAAGCUCGGUUUGGCAACGGAUAGACAAAAUGUUUCAAAGUGCAAGAUGCAUGGCCACAUUUCUUAGCAAUUCACAGUUCUAGCAAAGGGUUCCUUCUCUGAUUGCAUACACAAGGGUAGUUUCUCCUUGCAGUUAAUUUCAUGCCAAGCCUAUGCUUUGCUGCCUUAGCUAAUUAGGAGGUACAAUCUCUAUUUCCAGCUACAGCUCCGUAUUGCUUCUGCGCUUCCCUUUAUCUAAAGAGAGACUCGCAGCUCAUCAGCACUUCUUGAUAGCUUCUUCUUUUUGUCAACUGAGAUCCGCUUCGGAGAUUUACAGUGAACUGAACUUCAUCUGCCCAGAAACCAUUCAUAGUCUCGACGGCGAUAGAGACGAAGAUCUCUACAGACAUGUUGAGGAGUCGUCGAACAACACAAACCAUGCAAAAUUUUGGGCGCCAAUCGCGUAUUUUGUAGGUAUUACCAGUAUCUAUUGCUGCGUGGUGAAAAUCUCACCAUGAAUCGAAUUUCCGAUCUUGAUUAAUGUAUAAUUUCUUGAUAUCUAAACAAGUAUGUUGCGGCGUGAAAUUUUGUUAGAAGUUGUAUUUAUGGUCAUUAUAUUUGUAAUCUAAUUAUAAUGGCAAAAUUUCUGAGUUAUGUAUCAAAUUUUCAUGUUAAAUCGAGAGAGUUGAAUAUAUUCCAAGGUCUUAAA